GAUGAACGCUAGCGGCAGGCUUAGUACAUGCAAGUCGAACGGUAACAUGAGAGCUUGCUCUUGAUGACGAGUGGCGCACGGGUGCGUAACGCGUAUGCAACCUACCUUACACAGGGGGAUAGCCCGGAGAAAUUCGGAUUAAUACCCCAUGGUACUAUAAUGAAGCAUUUUAUAAUAGUUAAAGCAUUGUGGUGUAAGAUGGGCAUGCGUCUAAUUAGCUAGUUGGUAAGGUAACGGCUUACCAAGGCUACGAUUAGUAGGGGGUCUGAGAGGAUUAUCCCCCACACUGGCACUGAGAUACGGGCCAG
RNAcentral lists this ribosomal RNA (308 nucleotides) under uncultured bacterium. Its description in RNAcentral is "bacterial SSU rRNA". It matches the Rfam family "Bacterial small subunit ribosomal RNA", at positions 28 to 334 of the family's 1533-position model. The record is from RNAcentral.